GCAUUGCGAGCUGGGCACGGAGCAG
Molecule: non-coding RNA, 25 nt
Filed under: Cricetulus griseus (Chinese hamster)
Lineage: Eukaryota; Metazoa; Chordata; Mammalia; Rodentia; Cricetidae
Also listed under: 1 other name
Source: RNAcentral